Molecule: RNA transcript, 524 nt
Organism: Mandrillus leucophaeus (drill)
Lineage: Eukaryota; Metazoa; Chordata; Mammalia; Primates; Cercopithecidae
Gene name: Ig heavy chain V-III region VH26-like
Exons: 3
Source: RefSeq, a predicted model, not a curated record
AUGCCUGUCAUCCUCCAGCUGAGCAAGCCCAAGGGCAUGCUUGUCAGUGUGGAGGGCAUGCUUGUCAGUGUGGAUCCCGUGCGGGGUGUACUCUCUGGGUUUUUUUUUGUUGCUCUUUUAAAAGGUGUCCAGUGUGAGGUGCAGCUGGUGGAGUCUGGGGGAGGCUUGGUACAGCCUGGGAGAUUCCUGAGACUCUCCUGUGCAGCCUUUGGAUUCACCUUCAGUAACUCUACAUGCACUGGGCCCACCAGGCUCAAGAGAGAGGACUGGAGUGGGUAAGUUUAAUGAGAAAGAAAGCUAACAGUUACACGACAGAAUAUGCUGUGUCUGUGAAAGACAGAUUUACCAUCUCAACAGAUGAUUCAAAGAACACACUGUACCUGCAAAUGAACAGCCUGAAAACCGAGGACACGGCAGUGUAUUACUAUGCCAAACACACAGCAAGGGGAGGUCAGUGUGAGACCAGACACAAAACUCCCUGCAGGAGAGAGCGAGGCCACCAGGGGGCGCUCGGGACUCACUGA